GAUGAAGAACGUAGCGAAAUGCGAUACUUGGUGUGAAUUGCAGAAUCCCGUGAACCAUCGAGUCUUUGAACGCAAGUUGCGCCCGAAGCCACUAGGCCGAGGGCACGCCUGCCUGGGCGUCACACGCCGUUGCCCCCCCAUCUACUCCUUCGGGAUUGCGGGGGGGCGGAUGAUGGCCUCCCGUGCGCCUAGCCGCGCGGUUGGCAUAAAUACCAAGUCCUCGGCGACGCACGCCACGACAAUCGGUGGUUGCGAAACCUCGGUUGCCUGUCGUGUGCGUUCGUCGCGCAUCGAGGGCUCGAAAAAAUGCUCGGCUCCGGCUGGGCUUUCAACGCGACCCCAGGUCAGGCGGGGUUACCCGCUGAAUUUAAGCAUAUCAAUAAGCGGAGGA
Molecule: unclassified non-coding RNA, 391 nt
Filed under: soil metagenome
Description: partial contains 5.8S ribosomal RNA, internal transcribed spacer 2, and large subunit ribosomal RNA
Rfam family: 5.8S ribosomal RNA (bases 1-122)
Source: RNAcentral